RNAcentral lists this ribosomal RNA (258 nucleotides) under uncultured bacterium. RNAcentral's name for it is "partial 16S ribosomal RNA". It matches the Rfam family "Bacterial small subunit ribosomal RNA", at positions 335 to 586 of the family's 1533-position model. The record is from RNAcentral.
UGUCCUACGGGAGGCAGCAGUGGGGAAUCUUCCGCAAUGGGCGAAAGCCUGACGGAGCAACGCCGCGUGAUCGAAUGAAGGCCUUCGGGUUGUAAAGAUCUGUUGACAGGGACGAAUAAGCAAUGCGAAUAGUUUUGUGUACGACGGUACCUGUUUAGAAAGCUCCGGCUAACUACGUGCCAGCAGCCGCGGUAAUACGUAGGUGGCAAGCGUUAUCCGGAUUUAUUGGGCGUAAAGAGAACGCAGGCGGUCUUUUAA